This 301-nucleotide ribosomal RNA is filed under the name uncultured bacterium. RNAcentral describes it as "partial 16S ribosomal RNA". It matches the Rfam family "Bacterial small subunit ribosomal RNA", at positions 509 to 807 of the family's 1533-position model. The record is from RNAcentral.
CAGCCGCCGCGGUAAUACGUAGGGUGCAAGCGUUAAUCGGAAUUACUGGGCGUAAAGCGUGCGCAGGCGGUUUGUUAAGACAGAUGUGAAAUCCCCGGGCUCAACCUGGGAACUGCAUUUGUGACUGGCAAGCUAGAGUAUGGCAGAGGGGGGUGGAAUUCCGCGUGUAGCAGUGAAAUGCGUAGAUAUGUGGAGGAAUACCGAUGGCGAAGGCAGCCCCUUGGGCCAAUACUGACGCUCAUGCACGAAAGCGUGGGGAGCAAACAGGAUUAGAUACCCCGGUAGUCCCUGUCUCUUAUAC